RNAcentral lists this long non-coding RNA (1196 nucleotides) under Marmota monax (woodchuck). Lineage: Eukaryota; Metazoa; Chordata; Mammalia; Rodentia; Sciuridae. The record is from RNAcentral.
CAGAGAGGACAGGAGGACAAAGAUAGCCCAGAAGACAGAGAAAGGCCAGUGCUGCCAAGGACGCCCAGCCAAUGGGAGCCCAACACAAAUGGUGCAGCGCCUGGCUGGACACUGAGAGCACCGGCCUGGACAGCAGGUAAGGGGCUUCGUGAACCCCAGGGGAACCAGGCCACCCACAGGGACCCACAGAGGCCAUGUGUUCAGCUCCUGCAACGAGGGCUCCCCAGCACCCGGGCUCAGCAGAGACUCAGGACAAGCCCAGUGGGCAGGCCCCGUGCAGGGAGGGAGGCCCAGGGGCCUGAGCCAGGGCUGUCCACAGGAGGCAGCUCCCAGGAAGUAGGAGCCCAGUGUGACGGGUGGGUCACACUGGGCUUCCUCUGCUUAGUCCCAGGUUGGAGGAAGGGACAGAAGCUAAGGAAGCUGGAGCCACUGGCCAGGUGUGUUCAGCCCCUGGCUGGCUGUGCAGCUCCUGGACCCGGGGUCACCGCCUCGUGAUCCGGUGACAGCUGCCUUUGUCCUCUGCUGUCCCCCCUUUCCCGGGUUCAUCCUGAACUCCUCUGCGGUUUCGAGCAGAGCUUUACACCUCCCUAGCCCUGCUGACUGCACAUUGCUCCGAGAGCUCUCUCCACCUGGUCAGUGCCGCUCUGCCUUACGAGAGGUCCUCACCCUCCUGCUAGAGAGGAGCCACGUGCCCGCACGGAUACGGGCGCGUAACGACUGUGACGUGAUCCUCGGGUUGCCUGUGACCUCCAUGGUCAUAGACCACACCACAGUGACGUUCCCCCAGCUGUGCCUCGGCACAAGCCCUCAGCAGGCCCACGGACGUCUGCUGGAGUGACCUUCCUGAGCGGGAGGACGGCUGACGGUGGCCUUUCUCAGGCUGCUUGCUGUUUUCAACUCUUCCUGGAGGAACAGGGAACGCCCCGCGGAGCACCAGGUGCCUCCUCAUGAAAGCGCUGCCACUUCUGGGUCUAAGAACACUCCGGAAAAACAGCAGGCGUUGUCCAGGGAUCGCCAAGGCUGGCGGGACCGAACCCCUUCCUUCCUGCUGUCCCGGUCCCUUGGGUCUUUCCCACGGCUGCCAAGGGCCUCCCCAGCUCGGGAUCCUGCCGUGUCCCCGCCCAGGGACCCUGGCCGCCUCCGCCCUCAGUCCGUCUCCCCCCUCAGUCUGCCUCCCUGGCUGCUCCUCCCUCCGC